Non-coding RNA from Tritrichomonas musculus, 80 nucleotides. The record is from the annotation of a GenBank genome assembly. NCBI's taxonomy places the organism in Eukaryota, Parabasalia, Tritrichomonadida, Tritrichomonadidae.
GGUUGCUUGGCCGAGCGGUCUAAGGCGCCAGAGUCAGAUUCUGGUCCGCAAGGGCGUGGGUUCAAAUCCCACAGCAGCCA